This 73-nucleotide transfer RNA is filed under the name Spirochaetaceae bacterium. Its description in RNAcentral is "tRNA-Trp". It matches the Rfam family "tRNA". From Rfam's summary of the family: Transfer RNA (tRNA) molecules are approximately 80 nucleotides in length. Their secondary structure includes four short double-helical elements and three loops (D, anti-codon, and T loops). Lineage: Bacteria; Pseudomonadati; Spirochaetota; Spirochaetia; Spirochaetales; Spirochaetaceae. The record is from RNAcentral.
AGGUCAGUAGCUCAAUUGGUAGAGCAACGGUCUCCAAAACCGUAGGUCGCGGGUUCGAUUCCUGCCUGGCCUG